UUUGAGCGAGCCGAGCAGCAGCGGGGCGCCGGCCCGGUCCUGGCCGUAGGUCGCCAGCAGAGCCUGCGCUUC
Molecule: antisense RNA, 72 nt
Filed under: Actinoplanes derwentensis
Lineage: Bacteria; Bacillati; Actinomycetota; Actinomycetes; Micromonosporales; Micromonosporaceae
Description: ASpks TB sRNA
Rfam family: ASpks TB sRNA
Source: Rfam by way of RNAcentral